AUUAGAGUUUGAUCCUGGCUCAGAUUGAACGUUGGCGGCAGGCCUAAAACAUGCAAGUCGAACGGUAACAGCGAGAGCUUGCUCUCGGCUGACGAGUGGCGGACGGGUGAGUAAUACGUAGGAAUCUACCUAGUAGUGGGGGACAACCCGGGGAAACCCGGGCUAAUACCGCAUACGCUCUACGGAGGAAAGCGGGGGAUCUUCGGACCUCGCGCUGUUAGAGGAGCCUGCGUCGGAUUAGCUAGUUGGUGGGGUAAAGGCCUACCAAGGCGACGAUCCGUAGCUGGUCUGAGAGGACGAUCAGCCACACUGGAACUGAGACACGGUCCAGACUCCUACGGGAGGCAGCAGUUAGGAAUCUUGGGCAAUGGGCGCAAGCCUGACCCAGCCAUGCCGCGUGUGUGAAGAAGGCCUUCGGGUUGUAAAGCACUUUCAGCGGUGAAGAAAAGCUCAGGGCCAAUACCCCUCGAGUCUUGACGUUAACCACAGAAGAAGCACCGGCUAACUCCGUGCCAGCAGCCGCGGUAAUACGGAGGGUGCGAACGUUAAUCGGAAUCACUGGGCGUAAAGCGCGCGUAGGCGGUCUGUUAAGUGGGAUGUGAAAUCCCCGGGCUUAACCUGGGAAUUGCAUUCCAAACUGGCCGACUAGAGUACGGUAGAGGGAGGUAGAAUUUCCUGUGUAGCGGUGAAAUGCGUAGAUAUAGGAAGGAAUACCAGUGGCGAAGGCGGCCUCCUGGAUCGAUACUGACGCUGAGGCGCGAAAGCGUGGGGAGCAAACAGGAUUAGAUACCCUGGUAGUCCACGCCGUAAACGAUGAGAACUAGCCGUUGGACCCCUUGAGGGUUUAGUGGCGUAGCUAACGCGAUAAGUUCUCCGCCUGGGGAGUACGGCCGCAAGGCUAAAACUCAAAUGAAUUGACGGGGGCCCGCACAAGCGGUGGAGCAUGUUGUUUAAUUCGAUGCAACGCGAAGAACCUUACCACCCCUUGACAUCCUCGGAACUUGUCAGAGAUGACUUGGUGCCUUCGGGAACCGAGAGACUGGUGCUGCAUGGCUGUCGUCAGCUCGUGUCGUGAGAUGUUGGGUUAAGUCCCGUAACAAGCGCAACCCUUGUCCUUAUUUGCCAGCGGGUAAUGCCGGGAACUCUAAGGAGACUGCCGGUGACAAACCGGAGGAAGGUGGGGAUGACGUCAAGUCUUCAUGGCCCUCACGGGGUGGGCUACAAACGUGCUACAAUGGGCGGUACAAAGGGAUGCUAUCCCGCGAGGGGGAGCGAAUCCCAAAAAACCGCUCGUAGUCCGGAUUGGAGUCUGCAACUCGACUCCAUGAAGUCGGAAUCGCUAGUAAUCGCGAAUCAGCAUGUCGCGGUGAAUACGUUCCCGGGCCUUGUACACACCGCCCGUCACAUCACGAAAGUGGGUUGCACUAGAAGUCGGUGCGCUAACCGCAAGGGAGCAGCCGCCCAAGGUGUAAUUCAUGAUUGGGGUGAAGUCGUAACAAGGUAACCAAU
This 1509-nucleotide ribosomal RNA is filed under the name uncultured Gammaproteobacteria bacterium. RNAcentral's name for it is "partial 16S ribosomal RNA". It matches the Rfam family "Bacterial small subunit ribosomal RNA". Lineage: Bacteria; Pseudomonadati; Pseudomonadota; Gammaproteobacteria. The record is from RNAcentral.